GCCCGGUUAGCUCAAUCGGUAGAGCGUGAGACUCUUAAUCUCAAGGUUGCGGGUAAGUUCAUGUUCAGGACUCUGUCGAGGCUCGUUCAAUUUGCUAACGUUGAGAUUCCAGGUUCGACCCCCGCAUCGGGCU
Molecule: non-coding RNA, 133 nt
Organism: Xylaria nigripes
Lineage: Eukaryota; Fungi; Ascomycota; Sordariomycetes; Xylariales; Xylariaceae
Source: the annotation of a GenBank genome assembly